This 71-nucleotide transfer RNA is filed under the name Actinomycetota bacterium. Its description in RNAcentral is "tRNA-Gln". It matches the Rfam family "tRNA". Rfam says of the family: Transfer RNA (tRNA) molecules are approximately 80 nucleotides in length. Their secondary structure includes four short double-helical elements and three loops (D, anti-codon, and T loops). Lineage: Bacteria; Bacillati; Actinomycetota. The record is from RNAcentral.
UCCCGGGUCGUCUAGCGGCAGGACCGCAACCUUUGGAGUUGCAGACGGAGGUUCGACCCCUCCCCCGGGAG